GCGCGGGUGGCGAAAUGGUAGACGCGCAUGCUUGAGGGGCAUGUGAGGAGACUCAUGUGGGUUCAAGUCCCACCUCGCGCA
Molecule: transfer RNA, 81 nt
Filed under: Candidatus Zapsychrus exili
Lineage: Bacteria; Pseudomonadati; Candidatus Omnitrophota
Description: tRNA-Leu
Rfam family: tRNA
About the family: Transfer RNA (tRNA) molecules are approximately 80 nucleotides in length. Their secondary structure includes four short double-helical elements and three loops (D, anti-codon, and T loops).
Source: RNAcentral